UACGUAGGGUGCGAGCGUUGUCCGGAAUUACUGGGCGUAAAGAGCUUGUAGGCGGUUUGUCGCGUCACUCGUGAAAACUAGCAGCUCAACUGUUAGCUUGCGGGCGAUACGGGCAGACUAGAGUACUUCAGGGGAGACUGGAAUUCCUGGUGUAGCGGUGAAAUGCGCAGAUAUCAGGAGGAACACCGGUGGCGAAGGCGGGUCUCUGGGAAGUAACUGACGCUGAGAAGCGAAAGCAUGGGUAGCGAACAGG
Molecule: ribosomal RNA, 253 nt
Filed under: uncultured bacterium
Lineage: Bacteria
Description: partial 16S ribosomal RNA
Rfam family: Bacterial small subunit ribosomal RNA
Source: RNAcentral